RNAcentral lists this ribosomal RNA (510 nucleotides) under uncultured bacterium. Its description in RNAcentral is "partial 16S ribosomal RNA". It matches the Rfam family "Bacterial small subunit ribosomal RNA", at positions 28 to 507 of the family's 1533-position model. The record is from RNAcentral.
GACGAACGCUGGCGGCGUGCUUAACACAUGCAAGUCGAACGAAGAGCGAUUGCAGCUUGCUUCUCUCAAUCUUAGUGGCGACCGGGUGAGUAACGCGUAAUCAACCUGCCCUUCAGAGGGGGCCAACAGUUGGAAACGACUGCUAAUACCGCAUACGCUCUAUACUCGGCAUCGAGGAUAGAUGAAAGGUGGCCUCUACAUGUAAGCUAUCACUGCAGGAGGGGAUUGCGUCUGAUUAGCUAGUUGGAGGGGUAACGGCCCACCAAGGCGAUGAUCAGUAGCCGGUAGGAGAGGAGGAACGGCCACAUUGGGACGGAGACACGGCACAGACUCAUAGGGGAGGCAGCAGUGGGGAAUCUUCAGCAAGGGACGAAAGUCUGACGGAGCAACGCCGCGGGAGUGAUGACGGCCGUCGGGUUGUAAAGCUCGGUUAAUCGGGACGAAAGGGCUUCUUGCGAAUAGUGAGAAGGAUUGACGGUACCGGAAUAGAAAGCAACGGCUAACUACGUG